Molecule: long non-coding RNA, 789 nt
Organism: Dromiciops gliroides (monito del monte)
Lineage: Eukaryota; Metazoa; Chordata; Mammalia; Microbiotheria; Microbiotheriidae
Exons: 3
Source: RefSeq, a predicted model, not a curated record
GGCUCACCUAGGGCCAGUUGGAAAGUUUAGCUCUCCCAAGGGGCUCCCCGCUCCGCCUCCCCUGUUCCCAGGAAGGGAAUCCAUCAUGCCUGGGUCAUUUCCCUUUCCCUAAACCCUGGCUUAGCCAGGCCGACUCCGCCCGGGCAACAGUGGCAGGGGGAGGGGGGAUGUGGGGGUGUGUGUGUGGAGAGAUUUCUGCCAGAGGUUAAGGCAGCAGUGGGGGACAGCGGCUUCCCGAUGUGAGCCAGGAACCUGAAGCCCGCCCUGGGAGAGGAGUGAAAACAACCUGCGAGUCAGGCAGCCCAGUUCUUUUCCUGGGGAAACCUCUCCUUUCCAGGGGAAGGGAGCAACUUUUACCAGGAGACCGAGUGCUAGUCAAGCCUCCUGAGCUAGCUUGCUGCCUGUCUGCUUGCCUGCCGGCCAGUCCGCUGCUUGCAAUCCCUUCUCCUCCUCUUGCUCCUCUACUCGUCUCAGUUUCACUUCAAGGAUGCCAGACCUGGAACCUGGUGGCAUCCACUCUCAGCCACACACGCUGCAAGGUUGGAAGGAAACUGCCUUACCUAUGGGGAUGGCCUUCAUCUCAACGCGGUUCCCCCCCCAGGGAGGGAGGUGAGGGGGGAUGCUGAAGAUAAUGGUGUGACCUGAACCUUUCCUGUUCAGCAUCACCCUGGGAGGAAGGAGAGAGGCCUGAGAGAAGAGAAAGGUGAAGUAGCUAAGAACCAGGCUUCUUUCAUUCUCAGAAGUGCCCUGACAUGUGGGUGACUGAAUAAACCCUGUUGGAAAGCUGUU